Molecule: ribosomal RNA, 201 nt
Filed under: uncultured bacterium
Lineage: Bacteria
Description: partial 16S ribosomal RNA
Rfam family: Bacterial small subunit ribosomal RNA
Source: RNAcentral
CAGGCUGCAACUCGCCUGCAUGAAGUUGGAAUUGCUAGUAAUCGCGAAUCAGAAUGUCGCGGUGAAUACGUUCCCGGGCCUUGUACACACCGCCCGUCACACCAUGAGAGUCGAUAACACCCGAAGCCUGUGAGCUAACCUUUUAGGAGGCAGCAGUCGAAGGUGGGGUUGAUGAUUGGGGUGAAGUCGUAACAAGGUAAC